RNAcentral lists this ribosomal RNA (460 nucleotides) under uncultured bacterium. RNAcentral's name for it is "partial 16S ribosomal RNA". It matches the Rfam family "Bacterial small subunit ribosomal RNA", at positions 338 to 795 of the family's 1533-position model. The record is from RNAcentral.
CCUACGGGAGGCAGCAGUGAGGAAUAUUGGUCAAUGGGCGCGAGCCUGAACCAGCCAAGUAGCGUGAAGGAUGACUGCCCUACGGGUUGUAAACUUCUUUUAUAAAGGAAUAAAGUGCGGCACGUGUGCCUUUUUGUAUUUACUUUAUGAAUAAGGAUCGGCUAACUCCGUGCCAGCAGCCGCGGUAAUACGGUGGAUCCGAGCGUUAUCCGGAUUUAUUUGGGUUAAAGGGAGCGUAGAUGGGUUGUUAAGUCAGUUGUGAAAGUUUGCGGCUCAACCGUACAAUUGCAAUUGAUACUGGCAGUCUUGAGUACAGUUGAGGUAGGCGGAAUUCGUGGUGUAGCGGUGAAAUGCUUAGAUAUCACGAAGAACUCCGAUUGCGAAGGCAGCUUACUAAACUGCAACUGACAUUGAGGCUCGAAAGUGUGGGUAUCAAACAGGAUUAGAUACCCCGGUAGUC